AGGCCCUUCGGGGUACUCGAGCGGCGAACGGGUGAGUAACACGUGAGCAACCUGCCCUAGGCUUUGGGAUAACCCCGGGAAACCGGGGCUAAUACCGAAUAUGACUUCUGGUCGCAUGACCGGUGGUGGAAAGUUUUUCGGCCUGGGAUGGGCUCGCGGCCUAUCAGCUUGUUGGUGGGGUGAUGGCCUACCAAGGCGACGACGGGUAGCCGGCCUGAGAGGGCGACCGGCCACACUGGGACUGAGACACGGCCCAGACUCCUACGGGAGGCAGCAGUGGGGAAUAUUGCACAAUGGGCGGAAGCCUGAUGCAGCGACGCCGCGUGAGGGAUGACGGCCUUCGGGUUGUAAACCUCUUUCAGCAGGGACGAAGCGUAAGUGACGGUACCUGCAGAAGAAGCGCCGGCCAACUACGUGCCAGCAGCCGCGGUAAGACGUAGGGCGCGAGCGUUGUCCGGAUUUAUUGGGCGUAAAGAGCUCGUAGGCGGCUUGUCGCGUCGACUGUGAAAACCCGCAGCUCAACUGCGGGCCUGCAGUCGAUACGGGCAGGCUAGAGUUCGGUAGGGGAGACUGGAAUUCCUGGUGUAGCGGUGAAAUGCGCAGAUAUCAGGAGGAACACCGGUGGCGAAAGGCGGGUCUCUGGGCCGAUACUGACGCUGAGGAGCGAAAGCGUGGGGAGCGAACAGGAUUAGAUACCCUGGUAGUCCACGCUGUAAACGUUGGGCGCUA
This 729-nucleotide ribosomal RNA is filed under the name uncultured Micromonospora sp. RNAcentral's name for it is "bacterial SSU rRNA". It matches the Rfam family "Bacterial small subunit ribosomal RNA", at positions 72 to 818 of the family's 1533-position model. The record is from RNAcentral. Lineage: Bacteria; Bacillati; Actinomycetota; Actinomycetes; Micromonosporales; Micromonosporaceae.